RNAcentral lists this unclassified non-coding RNA (236 nucleotides) under Arabidopsis thaliana (thale cress). Lineage: Eukaryota; Viridiplantae; Streptophyta; Magnoliopsida; Brassicales; Brassicaceae. The record is from RNAcentral.
AUAAACUUUGCUACUGGCCGCAUUUCUAUUUUCUCCUUCGAUUCUUCUAAUUCGUACUUUGGUUUCUGACGUCCCUAAAAUUUUUAGACAGUAAGAGUUUCUCCAGGAUCCGAUGGUUCUCUCCGGUAAAUUAACAUUUUAGUGUCAAUAGUCAUUUAUACAUAUUUUUAUUUCACUUUUUGUUUUGUUUAUUGGUUUUCUGGAGCUAAGUGGAGAUUAUAGUCGAACAAGAGUGG